ACGUAGGGUGCAAGCGUUAAUCGGAAUUACUGGGCGUAAAGCGUGCGCAGGCGGCUUUGCAAGACAGAUGUGAAAUCCCCGGGCUUAACCUGGGAACUGCAUUUGUGACUGCAAGGCUGGAGUGUGGCAGAGGGGGAUGGAAUUCCGCGUGUAGCAGUGAAAUGCGUAGAUAUGCGGAGGAACACCGAUGGCGAAGGCAAUCCCCUGGGCCUGCACUGACGCUCAUGCACGAAAGCGUGGGGAGCAAACAGG
This 252-nucleotide ribosomal RNA is filed under the name uncultured bacterium. Its description in RNAcentral is "partial 16S ribosomal RNA". It matches the Rfam family "Bacterial small subunit ribosomal RNA", at positions 525 to 776 of the family's 1533-position model. The record is from RNAcentral.